RNAcentral lists this non-coding RNA (25 nucleotides) under Rattus norvegicus (Norway rat). Lineage: Eukaryota; Metazoa; Chordata; Mammalia; Rodentia; Muridae. The record is from RNAcentral.
AGCUGGUGCAUCCAGGGAAGAGAAG